AAAAUGCGAUAAGUAAUGUGAAUUGCAGAAUUCAGUGAAUCAUCGAAUCUUUGAACGCACAUUGCGCCCGCCAGUAUUCUGGCGGGCAUGCCUGUUCGAGCGUCAUUUCAACCCUCAAGCCCCCCUGGUUUGGUGUUGGGGAUCGGGCUGCGGUUCUGCCGCGUCCCGGCCCCGAAAUCUAGUGGCGGUCUCGCUGCAGCCUCCAUUGCGUAGUAGCUAACACCUCGCAACUGGAACGCGGCGCGGCCAAGCCGUUAAACCCCCCAACUUCUGAAUGUUGACCUCGGAUCAGGUAGGAAUACCCGCUGAACUUAAGC
This 317-nucleotide unclassified non-coding RNA is filed under the name plant metagenome. RNAcentral's name for it is "partial contains 5.8S ribosomal RNA, internal transcribed spacer 2, and large subunit ribosomal RNA". The stretch from base 1 to 105 matches the Rfam family "5.8S ribosomal RNA", at positions 50 to 154 of the family's 154-position model. The record is from RNAcentral.